This 575-nucleotide long non-coding RNA is filed under the name Phaseolus vulgaris (common bean). Its description in RNAcentral is "long non-coding RNA (PVUL_LNC003343)". Lineage: Eukaryota; Viridiplantae; Streptophyta; Magnoliopsida; Fabales; Fabaceae. The record is from RNAcentral.
UUUGUCUUGAAAGGGCGUCAGCCACUGCAUUCUCCUUCCCAGGUCUGUAAACAAUCUGAAAAUCAUACCCUUGUAAUUUUGCUGUCCAUUUCUGUUGCUCUGGGGUUUGUAUGAUUUGGGAAAGUAAUGUGUUUAGGCUCUUUUGAUCUGUAAUGAUUUUGAAAUGCUGACCAAUGAGAUACUGACGCCAUUUUUUUAUGGAUUCUGUAAUGGCGUACAUCUCACAUACAUACACUGAGGAAGCUUGGAGUUUGACACUCAUCUUUUUACUGAAGAAAGCCAGCGGACGCCCUGAUUGACUAAGAACAGCACCAACGGCCACGGCGGAAGCGUCUGUCUCUACCACAAAAGGAAGCUUGAAGUCUGGCAGGUGUAGGGUAGGCACUUUUGCUAUGUGUAAUUUUAGAUUUUCAAAUGCUUGCUGCGCGGGCUGAGACCAUGUAAUUUUAUGGUGCUGUAAUAAGUCGGUGAGAGGAGCGGCGAGAGUGGCGUAUUGCUUGAUGAAUUUUCUGUAGAAUCCGGUGAGGCCGAGGAACCCCCGUAAUUCCGUGAGUGAGCGUGGCUGAGGCUAGUUC